UACGUAGGCAGCGAGCGUUGUUCGGAGUUACUGGGCGUAAAGCGUGCGUAGGCGGUGGUCCAAGUCUGGUGUGAAAUCUCCCGGCUUAACUGGGAGGGUGCGCCGGAAACUGGACUGCUGGAGUGCGGGAGAGGUAAGCGGAAUUCCCGGUGUAGCGGUGAAAUGCGUAGAUAUUGGGAGGAACACCAGUGGCGAAGGCGGCUCACUGGACCGGUACUGACGCUGAGGCGCGAAAGCGUGGGGAGCAAACAGG
Molecule: ribosomal RNA, 253 nt
Filed under: uncultured bacterium
Lineage: Bacteria
Description: partial 16S ribosomal RNA
Rfam family: Bacterial small subunit ribosomal RNA
Source: RNAcentral